This 1303-nucleotide long non-coding RNA is filed under the name Lonchura striata (white-rumped munia). RNAcentral describes it as "domestica (Bengalese finch) lncRNA (ENSLSDG00000014152.1)". Lineage: Eukaryota; Metazoa; Chordata; Aves; Passeriformes; Estrildidae. The record is from RNAcentral.
AGUUACAUCUAUAAUGGAAAUGGUUGGGUCCUGGUGGCAGAAGGAGGCUCUCUAGCAGACCAUUAAGGACCCAGAAGUGGGAGUACCUGUGAUUGAGACACAAAGCUGGCUGUGACUUCUUGGUCUUUCUUGUGAAGCAUUAGGUGCUAAAUAAGCAGACCUUUAGUAGCCUUCUUAAGGACACAUCUUCCAUGUUUCCAUCUUUGAAGGGAAAUGAAGGACAAAUGAGGCUCAGGGAUGACACUUCCUUUGAAUGGGAUGAAUCACAGCAUGAGGGAUCUUCGGCUUGGGAGACAUCCUUACUCCCCUAUUGGAGAACCGGGCAUAAACAGGAAGAUCACAGUGGCACACCUCCAGCAAAUGUCCUCCAGAGGCAUUGUGCCCUGAUGGGAGGCGGCUGCAUGCAGAUGGUAGGGAGGUAUCUUAAGACAAUGCGGCACAGGGAUCCAUCCCCUGAGAACUGGAUGUGCAAGCAUGAAGUAGUGGAGUCCCUGCCUAUUACCUUGCUACGACAGGCAGGGAGACACACCUGAUGAAGAUACCUAUGGCAAUGAAAUGAAGUCGUAUUCUCAGACCUCAGUAAUGGGUAAAUGUCAUAUGUAAUUUUCCAACUAUAUUUUAAAGCCCAUUUGGUGACAGUGAAAUUUCUCAAAUCAAUGAACUUCUAUAAAAACUACAGGAAAGUUCUCCCAGUAAAAUCUUCCAAUCUUGAGUGUUGUUUGGUGCCUGUUAUUUGGUUUUUUCUUUGUUUUAAAAAUAAUUUUAUUUUAAGAGCACAUGUUGAUAAAUUCAAAAGUCUUCAUGGUGACUUCACAACAGUUCUAAUUUAGGGCCACUUACCAUCAUUUCAGUCCAUCAAGAGCACAUCUCUAGUCUUUCAUCUUUUCAUAAUUUUCCACUGUCCAUGUCCAUCAAGUGGCCAUUGCUUGUUGUCGAUAAUGAAGCCCUCUCCUACUCAUUUGCUGUUUCUCUAUUCUGUUGCAGCUGGUGACUUCCACAGCAGUUGCUGAUGCCAGAUCCCACCAGACACUCCUCAGCUUCCUUAAAAUCUCAUUCUCGCCGCCGUUUACAUGCCAUUUCCUCUUCAGUAUGAAUGCAGACCCACAGCAUCAUUCCAGACUGUGGGACCUAUCCUCGACGUUAAAAAUUGCUUAGUAAAACUGGGCAGCAGCAGCAGAAACCAAACACUCACGCUUUUUGUUACAAGUGUGAAACCUGCCACUACGCGGCUGAGAGAUGUCACCAUGCUAGCUGUGGGCGAUCCCCCUUCGCUCCUGAGCUCACUCCCGCACCGAACGCUGCG